Long non-coding RNA from Prunus persica (peach), 838 nucleotides. RefSeq lists it as uncharacterized. The record is from RefSeq and is a predicted model, not a curated record. NCBI's taxonomy places the organism in Eukaryota, Viridiplantae, Streptophyta, Magnoliopsida, Rosales, Rosaceae. The transcript is spliced from 5 exons.
UAAUUUUAAUAUUCAUUUAGCAUCACUCUUUGUUUUUCCUUCCGUCAACUACAGUAGCUCCUCCUUUACUUUUGUCGAGAGAAAACUACAGUAGAGUAGCUUCUUCCCCAAAAUUCUCUGCUCUGAUUUGAACCAUAGAGUUAACGCAGAGGUUGGGGUUUCGAAAACUGAUAGAUGGAUGGGUGGGUUUACGGUUUCUAAAAUUGAGAGACGGAGUGGUGUGAUUGCUAUGAAAAUGCAUGCUUCGAUUUGAGAAACGACGUUGAGCUAGUGAGAUCCUAUUCUGAAAGCAGCUUUUGAGACCAUGAGCUCCCCUGCCAUCUUUUGUCCGUUUAAUAUCAUCUCUUGAGCGUGUGAAGUUAAGAAGUUGAGCUACUACAUGGGUGAAGAAAGAAUUAAAAGAGUUCGUCAAAUCUUGUUUAAGCUGUAUUCACCUAUCAACAUAUCGUUCAAAAGCAUGAACCUCACUUUUGAAGGAUGUGAUCCUGCUCUGCUUAGGUGCAUUGUGAUUCCUCCGGAUAAUGAACUUUCUGAGUCUUCCUCAGUAGCUCACUCCUACUUUAAAAGGGGACAUCAACACUAGAGAUUCAGGAAGCAGUCAACGAAGGUGUGGUCAAACACGAGAUAUUGAGCAAGAGAUGUGCUGGUUGAAAUACAUUUAUCAAUUUAUUUUUAGAUUUUGUAUUUGAGAGAUGUAUGUCUUGUGAAUUUGUUGGAGGAAUGUUGAUACCUAUACAGUUUUUGGAAUGAUAUAUGAUACACAUUGUAUUGGGUAUCAUGAUUUUAUCUUUAGUAGACUAUUUAUGAAGAAAAAAAAAUAGAUGUGAGUUUACAUAAA